GAUGAACGCUGGCGGCGUGCCUAAUACAUGCAAGUCGAGCGAACAGAUGAGGAGCUUGCUCCUCUGACGUUAGCGGCGGACGGGUGAGUAACACGUGGAUAACCUACCUAUCAGACUGGGAUAACUUCGGGAAACCGGAGCUAAUACCGGAUAAUAUAUUGAACCGCAUGGUUGAAUAGUGAAAGUCGGUUUUGCUGUCUCUUCUAGAUGGAUCCGCGCCGCAUUAGCUAGUUGGUAAGGUAACGGCUUACCAAGGCAACGAGGCGUAGCCGACCUGCGAGGGGGAUCGGCGACACUGGAGCUGAGACACGGUCCAGACUCCUACGGGAGGCAGCAGUAGGGAAUCGUCCGCAAUGGGCGAAAGCCUGACGGAGCAACGCCGAGUGAGUGAUGAAGGUCUUCGGAUCGUAAAACUCUGUUAUUAGGGAAGAACAAAUGUGUAAGUAACUAUGCACGGCUUGACGGUAACUAAUCAGAAAGCCACGGCUAACUACGUG
RNAcentral lists this ribosomal RNA (497 nucleotides) under uncultured bacterium. RNAcentral describes it as "partial 16S ribosomal RNA". It matches the Rfam family "Bacterial small subunit ribosomal RNA", at positions 28 to 507 of the family's 1533-position model. The record is from RNAcentral.